Molecule: ribosomal RNA, 434 nt
Filed under: uncultured bacterium
Lineage: Bacteria
Description: partial 16S ribosomal RNA
Rfam family: Bacterial small subunit ribosomal RNA
Source: RNAcentral
AGCGAACGCUGGCGGCAGGCCUAACACAUGCAAGUCGAACGAACCUUUCGGGGUUAGUGGCGGACGGGUGAGUAACACGUGGGAACGUGCCUUUAGGUUCGGAAUAACUCAGGGAAACUUGUGCUAAUACCGAAUGUGCCCUUCGGGGGAAAGAUUUAUCGCCUUUAGAGCGGCCCGCGUCUGAUUAGCUAGUUGGUUGAGGUAAUGGCUCACCAAGGCGACGAUCAGUAGCUGGUCUGAGAGGAUGAUCAGCCACAUUGGGACUGAGACACGGCCCAAACUCCUACGGGAGGCAGCUGUGGGGAAUCUUGCGCAAUGGGCGAAAGCCUGACGCAGCCAUGCCGCGUGAAUGAUGAAGGUCUUAGGAUUGUAAAAUUCUUUCACCGGGGACGAUAAUGACGGUACCCGGAGAAGAAGCCCCGGCUAACUUCGUG